UCGAAUUCUCUCAGGAGGAGUGAAGAUGCCUGAACCACAGUCAGUGGGAACUGUACAGAGAUGUGAUGUUAGAGACCUACGGACACCUCGUCUUCUUGGGUCUUGUUAUGUCAAAGCCAGGCCUGAUCAUCUUUUUGGAACAAAAGAGGGAGCUAUGGGAUGUGUAAAGAAAGGAGACAGUAGCCUCAUACCCAGUUCCAUUUUUGAGGUGCAUCUGUGGAUCAGUUGCUGAAAGAUCUGACUUCAGCUGACGUCAUGAUCCCACAGUCAGUGAAGUCUGAGUCCCGCACAGGCCUCAGUGAUGACAGCACAGAGCAACCUUGGAGUCCUGUCUCCCUCUCUCUCUGCUCCUUCCCUACUUGGUC
Suricata suricatta (meerkat) is the source of this 365-nucleotide long non-coding RNA. RefSeq lists it as uncharacterized. The record is from RefSeq and is a predicted model, not a curated record. The transcript is spliced from 3 exons. NCBI's taxonomy places the organism in Eukaryota, Metazoa, Chordata, Mammalia, Carnivora, Herpestidae.